UUUCGACACACUAUCAUUAACUGAAUCCAUAGGUUAAUGAGGCGAACCGGGGGAACUGAAACAUCUAAGUACCCCGAGGAAAAGAAAUCAACCGAGAUUCCCCCAGUAGCGGCGAGCGAACGGGGAGGAGCCCAGAGCCUGAAUCAGUGUGUGUGUUAGUGGAAGCGUCUGGAAAGGCGCGCGAUACAGGGUGACAGCCCCGUACACAAAAAUGCACAUGCUGUGAGCUCGAUGAGUAGGGCGGGACACGUGGUAUCCUGUCUGAAUAUGGGGGGACCAUCCUCCAAGGCUAAAUACUCCUGACUGACCGAUAGUGAACCAGUACCGUGAGGGAAAGGCGAAAAGAACCCCGGCGAGGGGAGUGAAAAAGAACCUGAAACCGUGUACGUACAAGCAGUGGGAGCACAGAGCAAUCUGUGUGACUGCGUACCUUUUGUAUAAUGGGUCAGCGACUUAUAUUCUGUAGCAAGGUUAACCGAAUAGGGGAGCCGAAGGGAAACCGAGUCUUAACUGGGCGUUAAGUUGCAGGGUAUAGACCCGAAACCCGGUGAUCUAGCCAUGGGCAGGUUGAAGGUUGGGUAACACUAACUGGAGGACCGAACCGACUAAUGUUGAAAAAUUAGCGGAUGACUUGUGGCUGGGGGUGAAAGGCCAAUCAAACCGGGAGAUAGCUGGUUCUCCCCGAAAGCUAUUUAGGUAGCGCCUCGUGAAUUCAUCUCCGGGGGUAGAGCACUGUUUCGGCAAGGGGGUCAUCCCGACUUACCAACCCGAUGCAAACUGCGAAUACCGGAGAAUGUUAUCACGGGAGACACACGGCGGGUGCUAACGUCCGUCGUGAAGAGGGAAACAACCCAGACCGCCAGCUAAGGUCCCAAAGUCAUGGUUAAGUGGGAAACGAUGUGGGAAGGCCCAGACAGCCAGGAUGUUGGCUUAGAAGCAGCCAUCAUUUAAAGAAAGCGUAAUAGCUCACUGGUCGAGUCGGCCUGCGCGGAAGAUGUAACGGGGCUAAACCAUGCACCGAAGCUGCGGCAGCGACGCUGAUGCGUUGUUGGGUAGGGGAGCGUUCUGUAAGCCUGUGAAGGUGUGCUGUGAGGCAUGCUGGAGGUAUCAGAAGUGCGAAUGCUGACAUAAGUAACGAUAAAGCGGGUGAAAAGCCCGCUCGCCGGAAGACCAAGGGUUCCUGUCCAACGUUAAUCGGGGCAGGGUGAGUCGACCCCUAAGGCGAGGCCGAAAGGCGUAGUCGAUGGGAAACAGGUUAAUAUUCCUGUACUUGGUGUUACUGCGAAGGGGGGACGGAGAAGGCUAUGUUGGCCGGGCGACGGUUGUCCCGGUUUAAGCGUGUAGGCUGGUUUUCCAGGCAAAUCCGGAAAACUAAGGCUGAGGCGUGAUGACGAGGCACUACGGUGCUGAAGCAACAAAUGCCCUGCUUCCAGGAAAAGCCUCUAAGCAUCAGGUAACAUCAAAUCGUACCCCAAACCGACACAGGUGGUCAGGUAGAGAAUACCAAGGCGCUUGAGAGAACUCGGGUGAAGGAACUAGGCAAAAUGGUGCCGUAACUUCGGGAGAAGGCACGCUGAUAUGUAGGUGAAGUCCCUCGCGGAUGGAGCUGAAAUCAGUCGAAGAUACCAGCUGGCUGCAACUGUUUAUUAAAAACACAGCACUGUGCAAACACGAAAGUGGACGUAUACGGUGUGACGCCUGCCCGGUGCCGGAAGGUUAAUUGAUGGGGUCAGCGCAAGCGAAGCUCUUGAUCGAAGCCCCGGUAAACGGCGGCCGUAACUAUAACGGUCCUAAGGUAGCGAAAUUCCUUGUCGGGUAAGUUCCGACCUGCACGAAUGGCGUAAUGAUGGCCAGGCUGUCUCCACCCGAGACUCAGUGAAAUUGAACUCGCUGUGAAGAUGCAGUGUACCCGCGGCAAGACGGAAAGACCCCGUGAACCUUUACUAUAGCUUGACACUGAACAUUGAGCCUUGAUGUGUAGGAUAGGUGGGAGGCUUUGAAGUGUGGACGCCAGUCUGCAUGGAGCCGACCUUGAAAUACCACCCUUUAAUGUUUGAUGUUCUAACGUUGACCCGUAAUCCGGGUUGCGGACAGUGUCUGGUGGGUAGUUUGACUGGGGCGGUCUCCUCCUAAAGAGUAACGGAGGAGCACGAAGGUUGGCUAAUCCUGGUCGGACAUCAGGAGGUUAGUGCAAUGGCAUAAGCCAGCUUGACUGCGAGCGUGACGGCGCGAGCAGGUGCGAAAGCAGGUCAUAGUGAUCCGGUGGUUCUGAAUGGAAGGGCCAUCGCUCAACGGAUAAAAGGUACUCCGGGGAUAACAGGCUGAUACCGCCCAAGAGUUCAUAUCGACGGCGGUGUUUGGCACCUCGAUGUCGGCUCAUCACAUCCUGGGGCUGAAGUAGGUCCCAAGGGUAUGGCUGUUCGCCAUUUAAAGUGGUACGCGAGCUGGGUUUAGAACGUCGUGAGACAGUUCGGUCCCUAUCUGCCGUGGGCGCUGGAGAACUGAGGGGGGCUGCUCCUAGUACGAGAGGACCGGAGUGGACGCAUCACUGGUGUUCGGGUUGUCAUGCCAAUGGCACUGCCCGGUAGCUAAAUGCGGAAGAGAUAAGUGCUGAAAGCAUCUAAGCACGAAACUUGCCCCGAGAUGAGUUCUCCCUGACUCCUUGAGAGUCCUGAAGGAACGUUGAAG
This 2688-nucleotide ribosomal RNA is filed under the name Escherichia coli. RNAcentral's name for it is "partial 23S ribosomal RNA". It matches the Rfam family "Bacterial large subunit ribosomal RNA". Lineage: Bacteria; Pseudomonadati; Pseudomonadota; Gammaproteobacteria; Enterobacterales; Enterobacteriaceae. The record is from RNAcentral.